RNAcentral lists this ribosomal RNA (418 nucleotides) under uncultured Streptococcus sp. Its description in RNAcentral is "bacterial SSU rRNA". It matches the Rfam family "Bacterial small subunit ribosomal RNA", at positions 28 to 436 of the family's 1533-position model. Lineage: Bacteria; Bacillati; Bacillota; Bacilli; Lactobacillales; Streptococcaceae. The record is from RNAcentral.
GACGAACGCUGGCGGCGUGCCUAAUACAUGCAAGUAGAACGCUGAAGAGAGGAGCUUGCUCUUCUUGGAUGAGUUGCGAACGGGUGAGUAACGCGUAGGUAACCUGCCUUGUAGCGGGGGAUAACUAUUGGAAACGAUAGCUAAUACCGCAUAACAAUGGAUGACACAUGUCAUUUAUUUGAAAGGGGCAAUUGCUCCACUACAAGAUGGACCUGCGUUGUAUUAGCUAGUAGGUGAGGUAACGGCUCACCUAGGCGACGAUACAUAGCCGACCUGAGAGGGUGAUCGGCCACACUGGGACUGAGACACGGCCCAGACUCCUACGGGAGGCAGCAGUAGGGAAUCUUCGGCAAUGGGGGCAACCCUGACCGAGCAACGCCGCGUGAGUGAAGAAGGUUUUCGGAUCGUAAAGCUCUGU